CGGCCGCGCCCCCGCCGGUUCUUAUAUCCGAGGCGGUAGCGAAGGCGGCGAGUGGAGGUGGCGCAUGGACAGCCACGGGAUGGUAUCGCUUCUCGUGCCGCUGGCGCUUGCGCUGCCCGGCGUCUGCGGAGACUCCGCGACCGUUCAUCGUGAUGUUACACGAGAGUGCAACUUCCGGGAAGUAUCCUAAAGAGAGGGGCACGCCCUCACCCUUUCCUCUCCCGCUGUCUUCUGGCUGGGAGAGGGCUGCAAUGGCUGGAGCAAGAGCAACCACUUUAGACCAUGAAGUGGCAUUAGGCACAGAGACUUCACAACACAGAGCAGCAAGAUGUAAGAAGCCUGGCUGGGUCUCUGAAACUGGGGAGCACCAGUCCUCCUCCAUGUACCCCAGGAUUUUUACAUGAAAAAUAAACUUCCGUUUUGCUUAA
This is a long non-coding RNA of Galeopterus variegatus (Sunda flying lemur), 428 nucleotides long. RefSeq lists it as uncharacterized. Lineage: Eukaryota; Metazoa; Chordata; Mammalia; Dermoptera; Cynocephalidae. The transcript has 2 exons. The record is from RefSeq and is a predicted model, not a curated record.